GGUGGGGUUAGCUUAGUGGUAGAGCACAAACUUAGCACAUGUAAGACCCUGUGUUUGAGCCUCAGCACCACCA
Molecule: transfer RNA, 73 nt
Filed under: Marmota monax (woodchuck)
Lineage: Eukaryota; Metazoa; Chordata; Mammalia; Rodentia; Sciuridae
Description: tRNA.Ala
Source: RNAcentral